AGAUUUGCACAAUUAAUCGUAGCCAAUGAGGUUUAUCUGAGGUGCGAUUAUUGCUAAUUAAAAACUUUACUUUUAUAAACUAUUAGAAUGGUAGAAACACCACCUACUUUAAUUGUUUAAUAUGUACCUGAGUAU
Molecule: non-coding RNA, 135 nt
Organism: Canis lupus familiaris (dog)
Lineage: Eukaryota; Metazoa; Chordata; Mammalia; Carnivora; Canidae
Source: Rfam